RNAcentral lists this transfer RNA (75 nucleotides) under bacterium. RNAcentral's name for it is "tRNA-Arg". It matches the Rfam family "tRNA". Rfam says of the family: Transfer RNA (tRNA) molecules are approximately 80 nucleotides in length. RNAcentral also lists the same sequence under 2 other names. The record is from RNAcentral.
GCCCUCGUAGUUCAAUGGACAGAACACACCUCUCCUAAGGGUGAAAUAUAGGUUCGAUUCCUAUCGGGGGCACCA